This 764-nucleotide long non-coding RNA is filed under the name Ictidomys tridecemlineatus (thirteen-lined ground squirrel). RNAcentral's name for it is "lncRNA (ENSSTOG00000033018.1)". The record is from RNAcentral. Lineage: Eukaryota; Metazoa; Chordata; Mammalia; Rodentia; Sciuridae.
GGGCUCAGGCCCACCCCGAACCCAGGGCAGGAAGGUCAUGUGACUUAAGGUCUUAACACGCUCCUCCGUGGCUCCCGUGUGCACAGCACCGAAUUCUACACACCGCCGUCCCCGUGGGUCUUGUUCAGACGCCGAGGGCUGCCCCAGGUGCGCACAGGCGUUACCUGCGGGGUCAGGCCCCAGCCCGGGAGAAGGUGCUGCCUGAAAAGGGCUGGGUCUAUUUCAUCAGGGAUUGGUUACUUUAGCUGUCCGAUCAGGCGCGCAGCCGGGGCAAGGGCGGGCUUCCGCAGUCUCGCGCUUUCCUGGCUGGGCCACAUGGGUCCUUCUUCCUCACGUCGCGGGUCUUGGGCACGGAUUCUGGGCGACUCUGCGUAGCCAGAGAGCCUCACGAGCUCGGGUGGCCGAAGUUCCUUCGUGAGGACGGCGGGUGACCCCGGAGACCCAAACGGAGAGUGUGUGGCCAGGGCUGGCGGGACCCGACGGGCGGAAAUGAGUUGGCUGAGAGUUAAAGUGUGAGGAGGCCUUGGCAUACAUCCCCGACCUCUUCCCCAAGAUGGAUGCCUGUAUCCCUCCUUUCCACUCAGAAUCCAUCUCCAGGACUGUGUCUUCUCUGCUGUGUGAGGCCCAAGUGGCUCUGGCUCAGGUCUGUCUCCCUGUGACCUGCAGGUGCUAUGAGGUCCACAGGAAGGAUGUUGGGACUCCGCAGAAGGCAAGAAAUGGUGAGUGUGUGGGGCCAGGACUGCUCAGGGAGGUGGGAUGGUUAG